RNAcentral lists this ribosomal RNA (666 nucleotides) under uncultured bacterium. Its description in RNAcentral is "bacterial SSU rRNA". It matches the Rfam family "Bacterial small subunit ribosomal RNA", at positions 8 to 722 of the family's 1533-position model. The record is from RNAcentral.
AGAGUUUGAUCAUGGCUCAGAACGAACGCUGGCGGCAGGCCUAACACAUGCAAGUCGAACGAUCCUUCGGGAUAGUGGCAGACGGGUGAGUAACGCGUGGGAAACUACCUUUCGGUACGGAAUAGCCUCGGGAAACUGGGAUUAAUACCGUAUACGUCCUUCGGGAGAAAGAUUUAUCGCCGAUUGAGGUGCCCGCGUUGGAUUAGCUUGUUGGUGAGGUAAUGGCUCACCAAGGCGACGAUCCAUAGCUGGUCUGAGAGGAUGAUCAGCCACACUGGGACUUAGACACGGCCCAGACUCCUACGGGAGGCAGCAGUGGGGAAUAUUGGACAAUGGGCGAAAGCCUGAUCCAGCCAUGCCGCGUGAGUGAUGACGGCCUUAGGGUUGUAAAGCUCUUUCAGUGGGGAAGAUAAUGACGGUACCCACAGAAGAAGCCCCGGCUAACUCCGUGCCAGCAGCCGCGGUAAUACGGAGGGGGCUAGCGUUGUUCGGAAUUACUGGGCGUAAAGCGCGCGUAGGCGGAUCUUUAAGUCAGGGGUGAAAUCCUGGGGCUCAACCUCAGAACUGCCCUUGAUACUGAAGAUCUUGAGUCCGGAAGAGGUUAGUGGAAUUCCCAGUGUAGAGGUAAAAUUCGUAGAUAUUGGGAAGAACACCAGUGGCGAAGGC